GAGGGUACAGUUCAGUGGUAGAGCUCAUGCUUAGCAUGCACAAGGUCCUGGGUUCAAUCCCCAGUACCUCCA
Molecule: transfer RNA, 72 nt
Filed under: Camelus bactrianus (Bactrian camel)
Lineage: Eukaryota; Metazoa; Chordata; Mammalia; Artiodactyla; Camelidae
Also listed under: 2 other names
Rfam family: tRNA
About the family: Transfer RNA (tRNA) molecules are approximately 80 nucleotides in length.
Source: Rfam by way of RNAcentral